This 253-nucleotide ribosomal RNA is filed under the name uncultured microorganism. RNAcentral describes it as "partial 16S ribosomal RNA". It matches the Rfam family "Bacterial small subunit ribosomal RNA", at positions 524 to 776 of the family's 1533-position model. The record is from RNAcentral.
UACGUAGGGUGCGAGCGUUAAUCGGAAUUACUGGGCGUAAAGCGCGCGUAGGUGGUUUGUUAAGUUGAAUGUGAAAUCCCCGGGCUCAACCUGGGAAUUGCGCUGGUGACUGCAGGGCUAGAGUACGGUAGAGGGGGGUGGAAUUCCUGGUGUAGCAGUGAAAUGCGUAGAGAUCAGGAGGAACACCGAUGGCGAAGGCAGCCCCCUGGGCCUGUACUGACGCUCAUGCACGAAAGCGUGGGGAGCAAACAGG